GACGAACGCUGGCGGCGUGCCUAAUACAUGCAAGUCGAACGCUGAAGAGAGGAGCUUGCUCUUCUUGGAUGAGUUGCGAACGGGUGAGUAACGCGUAGGUAACCUGCCUGGUAGCGGGGGAUAACUAUUGGAAACGAUAGCUAAUACCGCAUAAAAUGGAUUAUCGCAUGAUAAUCCAUUGAAAGGUGCAAAUGCAUCACUACCAGCUGGACCUGCGUUGUAUUAGCUAGUUGGUGGGGUAACGGCUCACCAAGGCGACGAUACAUAGCCGACCUGAGAGGGUGAUCGGCCACACUGGGACUGAGACACGGCCCAGACUCCUACGGGAGGCAGCAGUAGGGAAUCUUCGGCAAUGGACGGAAGUCUGACCGAGCAACGCCGCGUGAGUGAAGAAGGGUUUCGGAUCGUAAAGCUCUGUUGUAAGAGAAGAACGAGUGUGAGAGUGGAAAGUUCACACUGUGACGGUAGCUUACCAGAAAGGGACGGCUAACUACGUG
RNAcentral lists this ribosomal RNA (497 nucleotides) under uncultured bacterium. RNAcentral's name for it is "partial 16S ribosomal RNA". It matches the Rfam family "Bacterial small subunit ribosomal RNA", at positions 28 to 507 of the family's 1533-position model. The record is from RNAcentral.